RNAcentral lists this ribosomal RNA (393 nucleotides) under uncultured bacterium. RNAcentral describes it as "partial 16S ribosomal RNA". It matches the Rfam family "Bacterial small subunit ribosomal RNA", at positions 523 to 918 of the family's 1533-position model. The record is from RNAcentral.
AUACGGAGGAUCCGAGCGUUAUCCGGAUUUAUUGGGUUUAAAGGGUGCGCAGGCGGCCAUUUAAGUCAGCGGUUAAAUCGUGGGGCUCAACCCCAUUCUGCCGUUGAUACUGGGUGGCUUGAUUGCGGUCGAGGUUGGCGGAAUUCGUUGUGUAGCGGUGAAAUGCAUAGAUAUCACGAAGAACUCCGAUCGCGAAGGCAGCCUUCCGGCCCGUCAACGACGCUCAUGCUCGAAGGUGCGGGUAUCAAACAGGAUUAGAUACCCUGGUAGUCCGCACAGUAAACGAUGGACACCCGCGGUUUGGCCUGUAUGGCUGAGCCGCCAAGCGAAAGCGUUAAGUGUCCCACCUGGGGAGUACGCCGGCAACGGUGAAACUCAAAGGAAUUGACGGGG